CGAGGUGGUGCAUGGUUGUCGUCAGCUCGUGUCGUGAGAUGUUGGGUUAAGUCCCGCAACGAGCGCAACCCUCGACCUUAGUUGCCAGCAUUCAGUUGGGCACUCUAAGGUGACUGCCGGCUAAAAGUCGGAGGAAGGUGGGGAUGACGUCAAAUCAUCAUGCCCCUUAUGACCUGGGCUACACACGUGCUACAAUGGGCGGUACAAAGGGUCGCGAACCCGCGAGGGGGAGCCAAUCCCAAAAAGCCGCUCUCAGUUCGGAUUGCAGGCUGCAACUCGCCUGCAUGAAGCCGGAAUCGCUAGUAAUCGCGGAUCAGCAUGCCGCGGUGAAUACGUUCCCGGGCCUU
RNAcentral lists this ribosomal RNA (347 nucleotides) under uncultured Anoxybacillus sp. Its description in RNAcentral is "bacterial SSU rRNA". It matches the Rfam family "Bacterial small subunit ribosomal RNA", at positions 1034 to 1382 of the family's 1533-position model. The record is from RNAcentral. Lineage: Bacteria; Bacillati; Bacillota; Bacilli; Caryophanales; Anoxybacillaceae.